Molecule: non-coding RNA, 1546 nt
Organism: Durio zibethinus
Lineage: Eukaryota; Viridiplantae; Streptophyta; Magnoliopsida; Malvales; Malvaceae
Source: RefSeq, a predicted model, not a curated record
UGACUCGUAAGCAUCUUCCCAAACCGGUGGCAAACCACCGCAAACAAAAACCGCCCGUGCAAUCAAAAUUUCCUUUUUAGCGUGCUUCUCACGCGCAUAAGCCCUAGAUACUGUAGAUUUUUUAUCAAUUAGAUCGAAAUUGGGCAUAAUCUUUUUUCAGCAAAGCAUAAAAAAUGGUGAAAGUGGUAAGGAGAUGCAUAUAAUCAAUAUUGAAGCUGGUGGAUUCAGUUAUAGGAAAGGUUGGUAUGGCUAUGAUUCUGUACGCAAUUUGGUUAAUUAGGGCUUGGCAAAGAGAAAUUGGGGAUUGGCCUUUUGAAGGCUCUGAUUAUGCAGCUCCAUGGUAUGUUUCUCUUUCUUGGGGUUAAUGGGGAAGCCUGGGAUUUUGGAAAGGCAAAAUUUUGGGUUUUCCUAAGGAAUGUGUUUUGUAUUUGACUUGAUGAAUGUUUGGUUGUUUGCUUUGUUUUUGAAUUAUUACUUGUUUCCAUUUUCUGUUUGGUUGAUGGGAAAAUGAAUGUAAGUAAAAAAUAUAAACAGAAACUUUUAGUUAUUCAGUUAGUUUUCUUUUAAUUCUCUCUUGUUUUGGACAGACCACAAUUGGAUUUUACUGCUAAAAAGAAACUACAUUCGUUUGGGUGAAUUGCAGGAAUUUCCAGUGGAUCCAAGUGGGGGUUUUAACAGGUUUAAAGAUUUCGUCAGGUCAAACUUUGAAUUUUGCAAGUGGAUAGGCUUGUCUAUCAUGUCUGUACAGGAUGAAAAGGUUCUACAGCAGAUAUAUGUUCUACCGGGAUGGAAAGGUUCUACAGCAGAUGGCAGAGUGUUAAAGGAUACCAUUACAUGUAGGAAUGGAUUGAAGAUCCCACAAAGUAUUAUUUUUAUUAUGUUCGUGUAAUGUUAAUAACGAAACACCUUAUUUUCAUAUUAUUAAUGUUGUUAAGCGUUCUAAUAGGUAAUUACUAUUUGUGUGAUACCAGAUACACAAAUGAGGAAAGAUUUUUGACACUUUAUAGAGGUCAACGAUACUAUCUUAGUGACUGGAGGGCAAGAUUCCAAUCGUCGAAUCCACAUAAUAUUUCAAUAUGAAACAUUCUCAAACAAGAAAUUGUAUCGAGAGAUGUUUUGAUUUAUUGAAAGUUGGAUGGGCAAUUUUAAAAGAAAAGUCAUUUUAUUCAAUUAAGACACAGUGUAAAAUAAUUUUUGCUUGUUGCCUUCUUUAUAAUUUUAUUAACUUUGAGAUGAUUUUUGACCCUAUUGAAGGGCAUAUUGCUGAAUGAAGUAUUUUCUAACUAGAUGAAUCUGAACAUCAAGAUUUGAUUAUGCAUGUUGAGCAUCUGAUUGUUGGACUCAGUUUAGAGAUAAUCUAGCUAAUAAGAUAUUCAUCCAUUGGUUACAAUCCUAAGGAUAAUAACAUUAUAGAUAUGUUUUGUAUUCUAUUAUUUGUUUCCCUCAUGAUUUUUAUUGUAUGUAUCAUAUGGUUGAGUGUAGAAUUUGCUUUAUAUCAAUGUUGAAUAUAUGUUUACAAUAAGGCAUUCUUGAGUGUCUAAUAAUA